AGCUGUAGUAAUAGUAGUAGGCCACCACCCCCAUGGAUCAUAAUAAUGUAUAUGAGCACCCAUAAUAUCCAGCACCACCAAUCUACAUUUAUUACGCAUCUCCAAUUCAUCCUUCCCUAUUGACACCAUCUGUUUCAGACGGAUUUACGAUUUUUCGGAUUUGAUUGCCAAACCUAUUUACCGCUGGUUUCCUAGUAUAUCUCUCUUUUUAUUGGCUGAUGUAGGAUGGUUUAGCUGUUUCAUACACCUCGUUUAAUAUAAGCAUUUCGGUGGAGUUUUGUACCAAUGAAGGAAGGAGAAAGACACCUACACCAUUUUCCAAGGCAUCAUACUUUUCCCCCCAUGUUCACCAAACUAUAGUGGUGUUUGGUUAUCAUUCAAACGAGCUCUCAAUUUUAUGCCAUCAUGUGUACCAGAAAACCCACUUAGUGGUAGUUCCCAA
RNAcentral lists this long non-coding RNA (442 nucleotides) under Linum usitatissimum (flax). Its description in RNAcentral is "long non-coding RNA (LUSI_LNC001712)". The record is from RNAcentral. Lineage: Eukaryota; Viridiplantae; Streptophyta; Magnoliopsida; Malpighiales; Linaceae.